Molecule: non-coding RNA, 116 nt
Organism: Ceratotherium simum simum (southern white rhinoceros)
Lineage: Eukaryota; Metazoa; Chordata; Mammalia; Perissodactyla; Rhinocerotidae
Source: RefSeq, a predicted model, not a curated record
UGUGUGAACAGGAAAGGAGGAAGAAGAGACUGGGUGACUUGCCUUUCCACUUUGAAAUCUGAGACUCAUUUAAGGGGCUUUGGUGUCUACUGACCCACAUUUAAGUCCACUGGAAA